GCCGGUGUUAAACCGGAGGAAGUGGGGAUGACGUCAAGUCCUCAUGGCCUUUAUGCUUAGGGCUACACACGUGCUACAAUGGGUGGUACAAAGAGAAGCCAACUCGCGAGAGCGCGCCAAUACUCAAAAAAGCCAUCCUCAGUUCGGAUUGGAGUCUGCAACUCGACUCCAUGAAGUUGGAAUCGCUAGUAAUCGCGGAUCAGCAUGCCGCGGUGAAUACCGGUUCCCGGCCUU
RNAcentral lists this ribosomal RNA (234 nucleotides) under uncultured Smithella sp. RNAcentral's name for it is "partial 16S ribosomal RNA". It matches the Rfam family "Bacterial small subunit ribosomal RNA", at positions 1151 to 1381 of the family's 1533-position model. The record is from RNAcentral. Lineage: Bacteria; Pseudomonadati; Thermodesulfobacteriota; Syntrophia; Syntrophales; Smithellaceae.